RNAcentral lists this long non-coding RNA (314 nucleotides) under Dromaius novaehollandiae (emu). RNAcentral's name for it is "lncRNA (ENSDNVG00000012472.1)". Lineage: Eukaryota; Metazoa; Chordata; Aves; Casuariiformes; Dromaiidae. The record is from RNAcentral.
AGAAGCAGCUUGCUACCCCCAGAAGAUGAGAGAUGAGGUCAAUGGAAAAGCAAGUGGCUGUGUURUGUCGUCCUGAUGCUCCUUGGAAAGACAAGUUUUUUCUGCGACUUAAAGAAGGCUCUGCUGGACUGUACAAGUCUAGACAGGUAAUUUUGUGCGAAUGCUAAACCGCAGCUCUAAAAUGACAUCAAUCCCCAAACUGAGAAAUGCGUACAGUGAGAGCGCCCAGAGGAAAGAGCAAGACUGGAACUUGGCCUGGUAUCAGCACCGCUCUUGAAUCCAUGCAGAGAUGCGAGUAGAUGUGUUUUAGCUGA